RNAcentral lists this transfer RNA (72 nucleotides) under Scleropages formosus (Asian bonytongue). It matches the Rfam family "tRNA". Rfam says of the family: Transfer RNA (tRNA) molecules are approximately 80 nucleotides in length. Their secondary structure includes four short double-helical elements and three loops (D, anti-codon, and T loops). Further hydrogen bonds mediate the characteristic L-shaped molecular structure. tRNAs have two regions of fundamental functional importance: the anti-codon, which is responsible for specific mRNA codon recognition, and the 3' end, to which the tRNAs corresponding amino acid is attached (by aminoacyl-tRNA synthetases). tRNAs cope with the degeneracy of the genetic code in two manners: having more than one tRNA (with a specific anti-codon) for a particular amino acid; and 'wobble' base-pairing, i.e. permitting non-standard base-pairing at the 3rd anti-codon position. The record is from Rfam by way of RNAcentral. Lineage: Eukaryota; Metazoa; Chordata; Actinopteri; Osteoglossiformes; Osteoglossidae.
GGGGGUGUAGCUCAGUGGAAGAGUGUUUGAUGGCAGCUUAAAAGGUCCCAGGUUCAAAUCCUGAUUUCUCCU